AGUCUUAUAGUCAAUAAAUGAUGAUAUAAAAUUGCAAAUUUUAAGGGGUAAGUAUUUACUAAGGCUU
This 67-nucleotide transfer RNA is filed under the name Eriogyna pyretorum. RNAcentral's name for it is "tRNA-Cys". The record is from RNAcentral. Lineage: Eukaryota; Metazoa; Arthropoda; Insecta; Lepidoptera; Saturniidae.